GCGGGUGUCGUAUAGUGGCUUAUUAUAUCAGCCUUCCAAGCUGAGGAUGGCGGUUCGAUUCCGCUCACCCGCUCCA
RNAcentral lists this transfer RNA (76 nucleotides) under Candidatus Moraniibacteriota bacterium. RNAcentral's name for it is "tRNA-Gly". It matches the Rfam family "tRNA". Rfam says of the family: Transfer RNA (tRNA) molecules are approximately 80 nucleotides in length. Their secondary structure includes four short double-helical elements and three loops (D, anti-codon, and T loops). Further hydrogen bonds mediate the characteristic L-shaped molecular structure. tRNAs have two regions of fundamental functional importance: the anti-codon, which is responsible for specific mRNA codon recognition, and the 3' end, to which the tRNAs corresponding amino acid is attached (by aminoacyl-tRNA synthetases). tRNAs cope with the degeneracy of the genetic code in two manners: having more than one tRNA (with a specific anti-codon) for a particular amino acid; and 'wobble' base-pairing, i.e. permitting non-standard base-pairing at the 3rd anti-codon position. Lineage: Bacteria; Candidatus Moraniibacteriota. The record is from RNAcentral.